Molecule: non-coding RNA, 442 nt
Organism: Nelumbo nucifera (sacred lotus)
Lineage: Eukaryota; Viridiplantae; Streptophyta; Magnoliopsida; Proteales; Nelumbonaceae
Source: RefSeq, a predicted model, not a curated record
GGCAUCGCCAGUUCCAUGAGAUUGCGUCACUGGAGCUGAUUCAAAUGUUCGAAUUGGAGCAUUAGUCCGCCGAGGCCUUCCAUAUGCUGGAGUGAAGGGCGUGAGCGCAAAGGAGACUCGGAAGCGAUGCGGAUGCGGAAGCAGUACAGGCACAGAGAAUGCUCGAAUCCUCGGGGCGUUCCUAUUGUUUCCGCUAUUCUUUCAUGGUGUUUGGCUUUCUAAUUCGCUCUGGUUAAAUGCGUAGUUUUGGACUCCUCUGGUUAAAUGCGUAGGGAGGGCAUUCAGACUAUAUCGCGCCAUACUAUUGUUUCCGCUUUCCGUUGAUAAUAUAAGUAUAUCUGACACAUCCCUUGUUUAAAGGACUUCCAUUUUCUUUUAAUUCCUUCGGAUAAGUGGUGACUAUUUCUCGACCUGCUUUGACUGGUAGCUCGAACAGAAAUUG